GUGCCAGCAGCCGCGGUAAUACCGGCAGCCCAAGUGAUGGCCGAUCUUAUUGGGCCUAAAGCGUCCAUAGCUGGCCGCGCAAGUCCAUCGGAAAAUCCACCCGCCCAACGGGUGGGCGUCUGGUGGAAACUGUUCGGCUUGGGGCCGGAAGACCUGAGGGGUACGUCCGGGGUAGGAGUGAAAUCCCGUAAUCCCGAACGGACUACCGAUGGCGAAAGCACUCUGAGAAGACGGCUUCGACAGUGAGGGACGAAAGCUCGGGUCUCAAACCGGAUUAGAAACCCGUGUAGUCC
Molecule: ribosomal RNA, 293 nt
Filed under: uncultured bacterium
Lineage: Bacteria
Description: partial 16S ribosomal RNA
Rfam family: Archaeal small subunit ribosomal RNA
Source: RNAcentral